RNAcentral lists this long non-coding RNA (3717 nucleotides) under Homo sapiens (human). RNAcentral's name for it is "non-protein coding lnc-RHEX-7:2". Lineage: Eukaryota; Metazoa; Chordata; Mammalia; Primates; Hominidae. The record is from RNAcentral.
GCGGGUCCCAGCGCCCAUCGGCCCGGGGUCCGAGGGGCCCGCUGCCCGGGCUCGCUGCGUGGUGCUACCGCCCCCGGGCCCGCUGCGCCGCGUCGGAGCCCCAGCAGACUUUGAGAGGCGUGUGCGACAGUGCGCGUCCUCUCCUGCCUCUGGAUGUUUCCUUGGAGCCUCUGGCCUUCGGGAAGACCGGUAAACGUCCCUGUGGAGCCAGCCAGCCAGCCACCUCUGACCCCCGGGCUCAAGCAGCCAGCCGCGUGCUCCCUCCUCCCACUUGGUACCCGGACAGAACAGUCCCUACCUUGCUCUUCUCCCGCCGGCUCGUCACUUUAGGCUCCCUCCAGAUUCCGCGUUCCUUGAGCAAAUGGCUCACCCCUGACGAAUCCGGCCUUAAAAAAGUCCCGGCCUUGAAAGGGGUGGAGACUGGCGGGCGGGAGCGAAAGGAGGUCAGACCCAUGGCUGGGGUCGCACACGCAUCACCUGAGGUCGGAGAGGAGGGGAGCCUCACUUCCUCUGACCCACUGAGCCUGGUGGCAGCGUGCGGAGAGAUGUCACCAUCCCGGACUAAAUGAAAUCCAACUUUCCCUGACGCACCUUGUGGGAUCAAAGAGGGGUGUUCCCAUGCUCACCUUUCGCCACUUCCUCCCUGGGGUAUCUCCACCUCUCCAACACAAGCUCAAUGCCAGUUCUCUUUGGGAUGUUUUUGUGCAGGGGGUGUGACCUCCCUCAUAAAGGAACCCCCACUCCCAAGUUUUCCCCUCUUGUCAGUGGAACCUGUGACCAACGGUUCCUUCCUGUCCUUUUCCUCCCUGAAAGUAGCCCGGGGGCAUUCGAACAUGGCUCUAGACCCCUGAAUAGGGUUUGGAGCGGAGAUGUGCCUGGGGAGAAGAGAUCGCAGUGCUGUGUAUGAAGCUUUGGGCACGUGCUCACAAGAGCACACACAGCAACCUGAGCAGGUCAUUCCUUUUGAUAAGGAUGACAAAUACACAUACCAAACCCUGUUCCCCUCACCCACCCCAAACCAGUACCCCCAGGAUGAUUCCAGAUCAGCUCUGGAGCAUUUGCAUCAAGGGCCUGCAGACUCACAGGACCUACUAGAGCAAAAUAUCAGUGUCUCAGACCCCAGUUUUGGCCUCAAAUACUGGGUUUUUCUGCCAGGAGAAGUAGCUGCUAGUCUAGGAAAUGCUGGGACUUGUCCAGAAAGAUGAGGUUUGUGAAUACGGGGUGUGGGGUUGGGUGGGGAAUUAAGGCUGAUGUAUCUGGAGGAACUUUGGUUGGGCUGGAGGCAACUUCUGCCCUGUUCUAUUCAACAGUUCCCUCCCCUCCACUACCCCAUUUAAUCUGGCCACAGCUCAGCUACCUGUGUAUAAAAUCUUGAUCUCUCUCCUAUUUCCUUUCUACCUUCCGUGUUUUUACUUACUCGAAAACUGUUCCCCUCUCCUGUGUGUAUUUUUUUAAUUGAAAUAUACCAGGCAUUUAGGAAAGGAACACGAAACCUAAGUGUACAGGUCAACAAAUGAUGACACAGUGAACACCCCCAUAUGACCACCAUCCAGAUCUAGAACGAGAUCAUUAUUGGCAUCCCAGAUACCCUCCUUCUAUCCGCUCCUGGUGACUAUGCCACACUCCUUCUCAAAAGUAACGUUUAUCUAACACUACAGGUUAGUUUUGCUUACUUCUGAACUUUAUAUACAUGGAACCAUUCAGUAGGUAUUAUUUUGUGUCUGGCUUCUCUCACUCAAUACUAUGUUUAUGAAACUCAUCCAAAACAUUGUGGUAGCAGUAGCUUAUUUGUUUUCAUUGCCGUACGGUAUGCCAUUAAAUAAAUAUACCACAAUUUAUCUGUUAUUCUGUUGACGGACAUUUUGGUUGUUCCUACUUUGGGGUUAUUAUGAAUAAGGCUGCGAUAACGUUUUUGUUCAUGUCCUUUGGUACACUUACGUUCAUAUUUAUACUAGAUAUAUACCUAGGAAUAGAAUUACUGGGUCAUAAAAGGAUAUGCAUAUUUUUAGCUUUAGCAAAUGCGACUAAACAAUUUUUCAAAGUGCUCAUAUUAAUUUACACUCCUGCCAGCAGCGUCUUAGUGUUCCAGUUGCUCUAUAUUCUCAUUAACACUUGAUAUUGUCAAUCUAGAAAAAUUAAAAAAUUUAGCCAUUCUGGUGGGUGUAUAGUGGUAUUGUAGUUUAAAUUUGCUUUAUCCUGAUAACCAAUGAAGUUGACCACCUUUCCAUGCAUUUAUUUGACCCUUGGAUAUCUGUUCAAGUAUCAUGUCCAUUUUCUAUUAUUCUAUUCCUUCUGUCUUACUACUUUUUUUUUUUUUUUUUGAGAUGGUAUCUUGCUCUGUUGCCUAGGCUGGAACCUCUUGGGUUCAAGUGAUUCUCCUGCCUCAGUCUCCUGAGUAGCUGGGACUACAGGCACAUGCCACCAUGACAGGCUAAUUUUUGUAUUUUUGAUAGAGACAGCGUUUCACCAUGUUGGCCAGGCUGGUCUCUAACUCCUGACCUCAAGUGAUCCGCCCGCCUUGGCCUCCCAAAGUGCUGGGAUUAUAGGUGUGAACCACUGAGCCCAGCCCUGUCUUACCACUUUGUAGGAGUUCUUUAUGAAUAUCAGAUACGAGUCCUUUGUUGGUUAUAGGUAUUGCAAAUAUUUCUAUGAGUAAAUAAAUACAAAAGCCCUUGGUUUUGGUGUCUUCUGAAGUGUCAGGGCCACUGGAACAAGAAUAUAAUCUCUAUAUCUAUUUUGAUCACUAGUGUAAACCCAGCUCCUGGCACAUAGUAGGUACUUAAUAAAUAUGUUGAAUGAAUGAUGGAUGAGGUGGAUAAAGCUGAUGUAGGUACUUUGCUCUGUAUUGUGCUGAUCCCUAGAGUCAAACACCAAGAGGACCUGGGGGAAGCAGAUUUCCUCUGGCUUAGCCAGCUGUGACCUUAGGAAGAGGAAGACAUCCUGGCCCUUCUCUACUGAAAGAGCAGAAAUAGCUACAGUCUGUGAAAUGAUGAGCACAGAUGUAGGGAGCGGAGGUCACAGAUGAAAAGACAGGAACUACCAGCAAGUAGCAGGCCAGCCAGAUACUUCAGAAGGAGAGACGCAGUUGGGGGUAUCAAAAAGAUAGUGAGGGUCUCUGAGCAUCACUGUGGACCUUUGUAUGACAAGAACCUCCAAAGGUCAUGUGGACUCUCUCUUGCCUCAAGACAUGCCCAGUCUUUGAGCUUGUUAGCCAAGAGAGCUCUUCCACACCUAGAAACACAUUUCUUUCUCCAAAGGAGGUUCCCUGAAACUUUGGUUGGAGGGUCUUAUUCCUAACCUGCAUUGGGCAACUCUUUUUUUAAAAUCAGCUUUAACUUCCUCAUGGCCUGUAAUGUCCAUCCUGAAUAUGGAAGACCACCGAAUCAGCCUCUUCUCCAUGCACUGUUUUCAUAGGCCUGUUGCAUUCUACAGCGUUUUUCUCUUGCUGUGUUUCUCUCCAGCAUCCUUGACCAGCUCUGGUCAAGAGUCUCACUGAUUCCUGUUACUCUGGGAGACAGAAAUUUCCCCUUGCACCACCCUAACAAACUCACAGCAUCCCCUCCUCAUGUCUUUCAGAACAUAAUGUGGCAUUUAACUAGAAGCUAGUAGUAGCACCCCAAAUUUUUAUAUAAACUGAGCUUGGGGACGCCAUCUAGUUGGAGAGAGGCUGGGUGACUUGUCAUGAAACAUCAUUUGUAUAGCAAGCACAGUGUUUUC